Long non-coding RNA from Nothobranchius furzeri (turquoise killifish), 1877 nucleotides. The record is from Ensembl. Lineage: Eukaryota; Metazoa; Chordata; Actinopteri; Cyprinodontiformes; Nothobranchiidae.
AUGGCAGCCUGUGUGUCUCCAACAUCAGCUACACAACGCAGCAAGUCCAUUUGGAUCAUUGGAGACAGCUACGUGAGGCGUGGUGCCCAGAGAGCUGCAGAGACCCUCGGAGACAACCUUGGCCUCCCUGACGUCCGUGUCUCCUGGUUCGGUUGGGGCGGACUGAGGUGGAAAGACCUUCUCCCCUUCUUUUUCAACUCCAUGCAUGGAAGAGCAGCUCCUGAUCUGCAGUGUGAAUCUGGUGAACAUGAAGGAGGACCUGCACCGGCUUCACCUUCUACACCCUCAUAUCACACUGUUGAGAACUGUUCUUCCUUCACAACCCAAUGUUCCACUCACUCUGCAGCUCUCUGGGCCCCUUUUAUUAUUUUAAGUAUUUUUUAAAUGUCCCAACACUUUGUGUCCUGUUAUUUUAUAAAAUGUGACAUAAAAAAAAUAAAUGUUUUUGCUCAAUUACUGGAAUUUCUUUGGUUAAGACAAAAAAAGAAUCAUUUAUGCCAAGUUGUUUCUACAACAGGCCUGUUUUAAGUCCAACAGUUUCUUAGCAGCCAAUAGAAAUGUGUUCUUUACUAACUUCACUUGGUUUAAAAAUCUUACUAAAAUAAACAGAGUGCUGUAUUUCAAAACCCAAUCAUACUUGUUAUGUAAAUAUUAGCUUUGUAGAUAUUUUUUACAGAUAGAUAUUUGUGUGCUAAAAAAAACAUAAACUUAAAUAAUUUGUCAUUCUUUAUUGAAAAACAACAAAAUACAGGUAUACAGAAAGUGUGGGAAAACGAUAAUGUGAAAGUAUUGCACUUUAAAUGUAAUCCUAUUUAUCUUUAAAAAGAAAAACUAAAAAUGUCCUGUACAGCAACAUGACAGAAGAAAGUUAGUCUGUGUGUCAGGAUGUGCUGAACAGAUUUGCUCUAUCAAGAGGAGCGUUUUGUGUACGAGUUUAUGUUAUUGUAAUAUUGGUUUGGGUUAUGUAUCUGUGACAUGAUCCAGGUGGAAUGGAAGGUGCCACUAAUAUUAAAAGGUUCUAAAAAACAAGGCAAGCAGUGUGACAGCCAAAGCAAAUUAAAAAGGUACAUUUAUUACAAAACCCUGAUGAUGAUGCCAAGGAAAAAAAAUCGUUCAAUCGAGUGUGCGCAGGGCCCCAAGGGACAAGGCGGUCCAGUCCGGCCCUGCUGAGCUCUCAACCAAGGAAUCUCCAAGGCCGGCGUCGUCGUCUGGGAACCACAGGAUCGUCGCACGGUGGAUCCAAUCCGCCUCCUCCUCGGCCCGGCCCCUGUGGCACACAACAACUCCGGCAGUAAAUAGGUCCCCGGCACCAGACCACUCACAGAGAGAGAGCAACUCUAACACUGCCAGGCUCUGAUCAAUUACUUACGCUCGGGGGCAGAGUAACCCUGCCCGCCUGCCAUGUUGCACUCUGUGCCCUGGCGUCUCCGGCCGCGGAUCUCUCUCCCCGCUGUUGCUGCUGCUUCUCCUGCCGCUGCUGCUGCUGCUGUCUGUGCCGCCGGUGGAUCUCCUUCCAGUCCUUGCGGAGCUCGCGGUGUCCGUCUGGCUCCGGCCAAGUAUUUUCCUUUCCCCUCACGUUUCCGUGUCUCCACGUCCGCUCCCUUAAAUAAACAAAACCCUCCGCCCGUUCACCUCCCGCCCUGCCUCUGUUCAUUGUUUGCCAGUCCAGUCCACACCCCGCUCCCAGGUGUGGGUAAUUGGGGAGGAUUAACACAGAUGGGAUGCAAUGUUGCAGCAAUCACUAAAAACACCCAAACAGUUAAAAAUCAACCUAAAAGCACCUAAUCAAUUAGAAAACAUGCAAUAUAAAACAUAACAUAAGAACAUUAAACAUAAGAACAACAUUACCACUCUGUGACAUAUCGCCACAUUAGCAU